UGAUAAAACGGUAUUUCAUGAAUCAACGAAUGUGUGAAAUUGCUUAAGGUCGCUAAUGGAGCCCGAGUCUAGUGUAUUUGUCGGUUAACUGUUAUUUGGCCUGUUUUACAGUCUUCAAUGCAGCAUGAGGUUCGAUGUUUUCAUUUUAUAGUUUCGUGUGCAUAUUGUACUGUUUUAUUGAUUAUGGAUUGAAUGACUGGGGUGUUGAUACUAUAUGUUGUCUGUUUGGCAUAAAUUAUCGUUUAGCUUGUUUGUAU
RNAcentral lists this long non-coding RNA (257 nucleotides) under Carica papaya (papaya). RNAcentral's name for it is "long non-coding RNA (CPAP_LNC006326)". The record is from RNAcentral. Lineage: Eukaryota; Viridiplantae; Streptophyta; Magnoliopsida; Brassicales; Caricaceae.